This 732-nucleotide ribosomal RNA is filed under the name gamma proteobacterium IMCC14314. RNAcentral's name for it is "bacterial SSU rRNA". It matches the Rfam family "Bacterial small subunit ribosomal RNA", at positions 28 to 749 of the family's 1533-position model. The record is from RNAcentral. Lineage: Bacteria; Pseudomonadati; Pseudomonadota; Gammaproteobacteria.
AUUGAACGCUGGCGGCAGGCCUAACACAUGCAAGUCGAGCGGUAACAGAGAGAAGCUUGCUUCUUUGCUGACGAGCGGCGGACGGGUGAGUAACGCGUAGGAAUCUACCGAUUAGUGGGGGAUAGCCCAGGGAAACUUGGAUUAAUACCGCAUACGCCCUACGGGGGAAAGCGGGGGAUCUUCGGACCUCGCGCUAAUCGAUGAGCCUGCGUAAGAUUAGCUAGUUGGUGAGGUAAGAGCUCACCAAGGCGACGAUCUUUAGCUGGUCUGAGAGGAUGAUCAGCCACACUGGGACUGAGACACGGCCCAGACUCCUACGGGAGGCAGCAGUGGGGAAUAUUGGACAAUGGGGGCAACCCUGAUCCAGCCAUGCCGCGUGUGUGAAGAAGGCCUUCGGGUUGUAAAGCACUUUCAGAUGUGAGGAAAGGUGUGUGCUUAAUACGCACAUACUGUGACGUUAGCAUCAGAAGAAGGACCGGCUAACUCCGUGCCAGCAGCCGCGGUAAUACGGAGGGUCCGAGCGUUAAUCGGAAUUACUGGGCGUAAAGCGCGCGUAGGUGGCUAAGUCAGUCAGAUGUGAAAGCCCCGGGCUCAACCUGGGAACUGCACCUGAUACUGCUUGGCUAGAGUACAAUAGAGGGGAGUGGAAUUUCCGGUGUAGCGGUGAAAUGCGUAGAGAUCGGAAGGAACACCAGUGGCGAAGGCGACUCCCUGGAUUGAUACUGACACUGA